UACAGAGGUGGCGAGCGUUGUUCGGAUUUACUGGGCGUAAAGGGUACGUAGGCGGUUUUGUGUGUCAGAUGUGAAAUCCAACCUUUCAUGGGUUGAACUGCAUUUGAAACUGCAAGACUAGAGUAUGGAAGAGGAGAGUGGAAUUUCCUGUGUAGCGGUGAAAUGCGUAGAUAUAGGAAGGAACACCAGUGGCGAAGGCGACUUACUGGACCAAUACUGACACUGAGGUGCGAAAGCGUGGGGAGCAAACGGG
Molecule: ribosomal RNA, 253 nt
Filed under: uncultured bacterium
Lineage: Bacteria
Description: partial 16S ribosomal RNA
Rfam family: Bacterial small subunit ribosomal RNA
Source: RNAcentral